Molecule: unclassified non-coding RNA, 1743 nt
Filed under: Hevea brasiliensis (rubber tree)
Lineage: Eukaryota; Viridiplantae; Streptophyta; Magnoliopsida; Malpighiales; Euphorbiaceae
Source: RNAcentral
ACUAAGUCAUUAUUAUCAACAUAUUCCACGUUGAAUGGCUGAAUCUCCACAAGCUUUUAAUGAAUAUAGAGAUCGUCUUUUACCAUCCGUAUAAGCUCUCUGGACAUAUAAUUAACACUAAAGAAACAGAAUGUGGUAUCUACACUAAAAUCUUCAAGUUUAUUAUCUGUGUAUGAACCCUAUAGGCAGCGCAAAGCCAAAAAGUGUCAAAAUGUAAAGAAAAAAAAUAUUCAGAGAAUGGAAGAAAACAAAAAGGAUGUGAAAGCCAUCUUGAAUGUGGUCCUAGACAAAUCUUCAAAAUUAAUUCACCAAUACUUCAACCCCAACUAUCUUCUAUGGAACUAAGAGAGGAACUUCAUUAUGUACAGUCUUCAGAUCGCCUUCUGCUACAAUUUAUCAGCAAUUUUGCCGAGAGCAUCAGCAAGCUUAUUAAGAACAGCAACCACGCCAUCUGCAUGGUCCUUCCGCUGCUCCCGGUCCAAUUGGAAAUUGGUGUUCUGCGCUUCAAGUUGAGCAGUCAGCAUCUUACCAUUCUUUUCCAAGACAUCAAUCAACUGAUUCUGGACAUUGAUUGUUUCUUCAUCCCCGUCUGUUGUGAGUCGUUUCCGUUUCCGAUUCUCGUGUGAAGCAGAACCCACCUCAGGAUUGGAAGCAGGAUGUUUCUCAUUUGUUGUACCUGCAGAGAGUAAAAGAUGAGUCUGAAAAACAGUUUUAUCAGUAACAAUAAUAAAGUGAAAUUUUGUUAUGAACACUCAGCAAGUGUUACAGCACUUCAUUAUUCAUGGUGCAGAUACCAGUACCUUAAGCUACCAGUACCUUAAGCUUGGGAAGAAGUUACGCUAGGAUACGUGCAACCAUGGAUCAACAUUGAGAAAAAUACAUUUCAAUGCAAUGUGAUGCAACAGGAAUAUUUUAUAUCUUCCAAGCAACUGAAGAAUUUCUGUCCAAGAUCCAGACUAUAAAAAUCUUCAAUGUAUUUAUUUUUCAACAGUGGGGGAGAAAGGAAGAAGCUUAAGGGCCUAAAGAUUUCUAGAUACAGAUACCUAUCUUAUUAUAGCUCCAUUGGCUUAUUUGAUUCAUCAAACCAACAAAAGUACAAAGAGUGAUUUAGUCCCUAUCCAGCUUUCUGCCAAUUUACAGAUUCUAACCAUGAUUUACAUUAAAAGGUGGUGUUAACAGUAUGAAAAGUAAAUCUAGUCUCAGUUGCCUGCUUACAUGUCCUUCAAACACCAAAUUUUGUAUUGAUUUUUAAUAUUUAAACAUAAACUAAAGUACGACUGAAACUAGAGUAAUAUAUCAUCCAGAAGUUGUGAUAGGCAUAGCUGAAAGUCAGUUUCCAAGUCUCAUUGAAAAAGAAGAUGGUGAAUUAUUUUCACAUGAGCUGAAAAUUUAUCAUGACAUGCUGGAUUGAAGGGUCUACAUGAAAUCCCCAAAGGUGAUGAUAGAUCAUGGAGUCACAGACUAGUCACGACACUUGAUCAUAUAUCCAUAACUCGAUUAGUUUUCAAUUUGCAACUCAUUUAUGUUCUUUAUUUAGCUUCAUAAUAACAAUUAUCAUUGUCAAUUCAUUUGUUGAAACACUUUGCUUAAAGUAGAAGUCUGAAAUGAAAUGCAAUUUAUAUCUAAUUGAAAUUUGAACUCUCAAAAUGUUUGACAAUAUGCAAUAGGAGUUACUUCCAGUCAUACCAAAAGGCACAUAAUUCUUAUAAAAAAAAAAGGGAGAACUGGGGAACGGUUGAAAAA